UUUCCAGACUCCUACGGGAGGCAGCAGUGAGGAAUAUUGGUCAAUGGGCGGGAGCCUGAACCAGCCAAGCCGCGUGAAGGAAGAAGGCGCCAGGCGUCGUAAACUUCUUUUGUCGGGGAACAAAGGGCGCCACGCGUGGCGUUGUGAGUGUACCCGAAGAAAAAGCAUCGGCUAACUCCGUGCCAGCAGCCGCGGUAAUACGGAGGAUGCGAGCGUUAUCCGGAUUUAUUGGGUUUAAAGGGUGCGCAGGCGGAAUGUCAAGUCAGCGGUAAAAUUUCGGGGCUCAACCCCGUCGUGCCGUUGAAACUGACGCCCUUGAGUGAGUGAGAAGUAUGCGGAAUGCGUGGUGUAGCGGUGAAAUGCAUAGAUAUCACGCAGAACUCCGAUUGCGAAGGCAGCAUACCGGCGCCCGACUGACGCUGAAGCACGAAAGCGUGGGUAUCGAACAGGAUUAGAUACCCCCGUAU
This 467-nucleotide ribosomal RNA is filed under the name uncultured bacterium. RNAcentral describes it as "bacterial SSU rRNA". It matches the Rfam family "Bacterial small subunit ribosomal RNA", at positions 328 to 793 of the family's 1533-position model. The record is from RNAcentral.